CAAUAGCGUAUAUUAAAGUUGUUGCAGUUAAAAAGCUCGUAGUUGGAUUUCUGGUGGGAGCGAUCGGUCUGGCGCUUAGCGCGAGUACUUGCAUCGUCUCCGGCCAUCCUUGGGGAGAGUCUGUCUGGCAUUAGGUUGUCGGGCAGAGGAUCCUCAUCGUUUACUGUGAAAAAAUUAGAGUGUUCAAAGCAGGCUUAUGCCGUUGAAUAUAUUAGCAUGGAAUAAUAAGAUAGGACUUUGGUACUAUUUUGUUGGUUUACGCACCGAAGUAAUGAUUAAUAGGGACAGUUGGGGGUAUUCGUAUUCCGUUGUCAGAGGUGAAAUUCUUGGAUUUACGGAAGACGAACUACUGCGAAAGCAUUUACCAAGGAUGUUUUCAUUAA
This 383-nucleotide ribosomal RNA is filed under the name uncultured eukaryote. RNAcentral's name for it is "partial 18S ribosomal RNA". It matches the Rfam family "Eukaryotic small subunit ribosomal RNA", at positions 592 to 976 of the family's 1831-position model. The record is from RNAcentral.